This 495-nucleotide ribosomal RNA is filed under the name uncultured bacterium. RNAcentral's name for it is "partial 16S ribosomal RNA". It matches the Rfam family "Bacterial small subunit ribosomal RNA", at positions 27 to 507 of the family's 1533-position model. The record is from RNAcentral.
GGACGAACGCUGGCGGCGCGCUUAACACAUGCAAGUCGAACGGAAAGGCCUGCUUUCCCUUGUGGAUUGCGGGUACUCGAGUGGCGAACGGGUGAGUAACACGUGAGUGAUCUGCCCCCAACUUGGGUAUAAGCCUGGGAAACUGGGUCUAAUUCCCGAUAGGACUGCAGGGUGGUGCCUGUGGUGGAAAACGAUUUUCUAGUGGUUGGGGAUGAGCUCGCGGCCUAUCAGCUUGUUGGUGGGGUAAUGGCCUACCAAGGCGGCGAUGGGUAGCCGGCCUGAGAGGGUGGACGGCCACAUUGGGACUGAGAUACGGCCCAGACUCCUACGGGAGGCAGCAGUGGGGAAUAUUACACAAUGGGCGGAAGCCUGAUGCAGCGACGCCGCGUGGGGGAUGACGGCCUUCGGGUUGUAAACUCCUUUCGACCGCGAGGAAGCCACCUGGUUGGAAGGGUGGUGACGGUAGUGGUAGAAGAAGCACCGGCUAACUACGUG